CGAGUCCGAGUCUCCACGGAGACGAAGUGGCGGUCAUCCAGCUUCCUAGAAAAGCUCUAACCACGUUAAUCUUUAGUUGCCUGUACCCGAAACCGACACAGGUAGGGGGGUAGAAAUACCAAGGGGCGCGAGAUAACUCUCUCUAAGGAACUCGGCAAAAUGACCCCGUAACUUCGGGAGAAGGGGUACCACUGAGAAGUGGUCGCAGUGAAGAGGCCCAGGCGACUGUUUACCAAAAACACAGGUCUCCGCCAAGUCGCAAGACGAAGUAUGGGGGCUGACGCCUGCCCAGUGCCGAAGGUUAAGGAAGUGGGUUAGGGAUUCGUCCCGAAGCUGACGACUGAAGCCCCGGCGAACGGCGGCCGUAACUAUAACGGUCCUAAGGUAGCGAAAUUCCUUGUCGGGUAAGUUCCGACCCGCACGAAAGGCGUAACGAUCUGGGCGCUGUCUCGGAGAGAGGCUCGGCGAAAUAGGAAUGUCUGUGAAGAUACGGACUACCUGCACCUGGACAGAAAGACCCUAUGAAGCUUUACUGUAGCUUGGAAUUGGGUUCGGGCUUGGUUUGCGCAGGAUAGGUGGGAGGCGAAGAAGAUUUGCUUGUGGGUGAAUCUGAGCCAACGGUGAGAUACCACUCUAACCAGGCUAGAAUUCUAACUUCAACCCGUCAACCGGGGGAAGGACAGUUUCAGGUGGGCAGUUUGACUGGGGCGGUCGCCUCCUAAAAGAUAACGGAGGCGCACAAAGGUUCCCUCAGGCUGGUUGGAAAUCAGCCAACGAGUGCAAAGGCAGAAGGGAGCUUGACUGCGAGACCUACAAGUCAAGCAGGGUGGAAACACGGUCUUAGUGAUCCGACGGCACCGAGUGGAAGGGCCGUCGCUCAACGGAUAAAAGUUACUCUAAGGAUAACAGGCUGAUCUCCCCCAAGAGUUCACAUCGACGGGGAGGUUUGGCACCUCGAUGUCGGCUCAUCGCAACCUGGGGCGGAAGUACGUCCCAAGGGUUGGGCUGUUCGCCCAUUAAAGCGGUACGUGAGCUGGGUUCAGAACGUCGUGAGACAGUUCGGUCCAUAUCCGGUGUAGGCGCAAGAACAUUGAGAGGAGUCUUCCUUAGUACGAGAGGACCGGGAAGAACGCACCGCUGGUGUACCUGUUAUCGUGCCAACGGUAAACGCAGGGUAGCCAAGUGCGGAGUGGAUAACCGCUGAAAGCAUCUAAGUGGGAAGCCCACCUCAAGAUGAGUGUUCUCAUGGAGUAAUCCAGUAAGGUCACGGGAAGACGACCCGUUGAUAGGCGGUAGGUGGAAGUUCAGCAAUGGAUGAAGCCGAGCCGUACUAACAGACCGAGGGCUUGACC
Molecule: ribosomal RNA, 1352 nt
Filed under: metagenome
Description: bacterial LSU rRNA
Rfam family: Bacterial large subunit ribosomal RNA
Source: RNAcentral